Long non-coding RNA from Hyposmocoma kahamanoa, 260 nucleotides. RefSeq lists it as uncharacterized. NCBI's taxonomy places the organism in Eukaryota, Metazoa, Arthropoda, Insecta, Lepidoptera, Cosmopterigidae. The record is from RefSeq and is a predicted model, not a curated record. The transcript is spliced from 3 exons.
CGCCUGACUUGCCAGUGCAUGUAUGCUGAGGGCUAAUUAAAAGUUUCCACAGAUAAUUAUUUAAAGUGAUAGAAACAAACUACAAAAAUUCCAUCACCACUAUAUACCGAUGUAGAAAAAGGUGUUGUUAUGACUAUGUCUCACGCCAUCUUGUGAUGUAUGGCUGUCCAGCCGAUGGAUGAAUAGAUUCAAACUGACAGAUGGCGGAGCUAGUUGGAACUCACCCCCUCCCCUUGCCUACCCUCUAUCACCCUCACGUG